This 975-nucleotide long non-coding RNA is filed under the name Heterocephalus glaber (naked mole-rat). RNAcentral describes it as "lncRNA (ENSHGLG00100034240.1)". The record is from RNAcentral. Lineage: Eukaryota; Metazoa; Chordata; Mammalia; Rodentia; Bathyergidae.
CACCUAUUAUACAGACUGCUUAAUCGUUCAAAAUUUAUCAAAAAUUAACAAGGACAUAGAAAAUUGGAAAAACAUAACUAGCAAGGAAAGUGUUAACAUAUGCAUGUUGAAUUUGUAUCCUACAGGCAGAUACAACUUUCUAUGGCAUCUUGUAAACAUUGCUUGUAUGUGAGGCAAUAUAACCAUAAAAGUACAUUUCUUUCUUUGAGCCAUGACAUGGAUGUGACAGUGUUAUGGCUUAUAUAGAUGUCCCCCUAAAGCCUCAUGUACUCAUAAAUGGGGCUUUGGGGAGGUGGAGGGAUCAUAGGUAUGUGAUACUGGAUUAUAGGUAUGUGAUAACUGGAUUAGUCCACUAAUUGGUUUAGUGUAGUAGUGGGUAAUAGAUUUACUGAAGAGGGAACCCCUACCCUGGUUUUGUGUGGCACCAACAAAUAGGCUUAUGGCCUGGAUGGAAUAUAAAGGGAAAGAAGGAAGGCAGGCUUGCUGCUUCUGCCUACCCUGAUAUUGACUGUUUCUCCUCUGCCAUGCCAUGCUGCCCUGCCUUGGAGCCAGAUGAUCAUGGAUUGAAACCUCUACAAAUGGCUGACCAGUAAUAGCUGCAGCUCUACACCAGAUGCUAACAUCAGCAAAGCAGACACCCCCUCUGACUGGCUGCCAUCAUUGUGCAGGGUCUCAUUAAGUUGCCCAGGCUGAACUCAAACUUGCAGUCUUCCUGUCUCAGUCUCUGUGUUGAGAUUGCAGGUGUGCACCACCAUGCCCAGGUAGCACCCCACCCUCUAAUCAGAGUGAUUAUGUUUCUGUUUGAAACCUAAUAUGCAUAUAGCUUUCUUAUUCUUUUCUCAAUCUUUUCUGAAAGUGUUGGAACUUGGUUUAUAUUUAGUGUAUUUAGAUUUAACAUUAUUUGUUUUCUAUUUGUUCUGCCUGCUCAAUGUUUUCGUUCCUUUGAUUUCUUUUGGAUUAAGAACUUUACUAACC